Molecule: long non-coding RNA, 388 nt
Filed under: Manihot esculenta (cassava)
Lineage: Eukaryota; Viridiplantae; Streptophyta; Magnoliopsida; Malpighiales; Euphorbiaceae
Description: long non-coding RNA (MESC_LNC013162)
Source: RNAcentral
AUCAGUAAAACACAUAUCACACUGAGUAAAACAUAAAUCCUACCCUCCUCUAGAAGUCCGACACCCCGGAUUCCACCGGACGACAGGAAUUCCGAUGCCGGAUUCUAGCCGGGUAUUACAUUCUCUCCCCCUUAAAAAACAUUCGUCCUCGAAUGAUUCGAAAACAAAUAAUACAUAAACUGGAGGAAACGAACCUCAAAACAAGUAUGGAUACUGCUGGAGCAUAGACUCCCGCGUCUCCCAGGUGCACUCUUCUAGAUUAUGGUGGUUCCAUAGAACUUUCACCAUCGGAAUCUCCUUGUUCCUUAGCUGUCUGAUCUGUGUGUCCAGAAUCCGCACUGGCUGCUCUAUAUAGGUGAGAUCUGUAUGAAUCUCCACCUCAGGCUCA